GGCGAGUGAAGCGGCAAGAGCUCAAAUUUGAAAGCUGGCUCCUUCGGGGUCCGCAUUGUAAUUUGUAGAGGAUGCUUCGGGAGCGGUCCCCAUCUAAGUGCCCUGGAACGGGACGUCAUAGAGGGUGAGAAUCCCGUAUGGGAUGGGGUGUCCGCGCCCGUGUGAAGCUCCUUCGACGAGUCGAGUUGUUUGGGAAUGCAGCUCUAAAUGGGUGGUAAAUUUCAUCUAAAGCUAAAUAUUGGCCGGAGACCGAUAGCGCACAAGUAGAGUGAUCGAAAGAUGAAAAGCACUUUGAAAAGAGAGUUAAAAAGCACGUGAAAUUGUUGAAAGGGAAGCGCUUGCGACCAGACUCGCUCGCGGGGUUCAGCCGGCAUUCGUGCCGGUGUACUUCCCCGCGGGCGGGCCAGCGUCGGUUUGGGCGGUCGGUCAAAGGCCCUCGGAAGGUAACGCCCCUAGGGGCGUCUUAUAGCCGAGGGUGCAAUGCGACCUGCCUAGACCGAGGAACGCGCUUCGGCUCGGACGCUGGCAUAAUGGUCGUAAGCGACCC
Molecule: ribosomal RNA, 547 nt
Filed under: Penicillium griseofulvum
Lineage: Eukaryota; Fungi; Ascomycota; Eurotiomycetes; Eurotiales; Aspergillaceae
Description: LSU rRNA
Rfam family: Eukaryotic large subunit ribosomal RNA
Source: RNAcentral